Molecule: ribosomal RNA, 267 nt
Filed under: uncultured bacterium
Lineage: Bacteria
Description: partial 16S ribosomal RNA
Rfam family: Bacterial small subunit ribosomal RNA
Source: RNAcentral
UGCCGGCGACCGGCGGACGGGUGCGUAACGCGUAUGUAACCUACCUUUGACAGGGGGAUAACAUCGAGAAAUUGGUACUAAUACCCCAUAACAUCACCGGAGGCAUCUUCGGUGGUUGAAAACUCAGGUGGUCAGAGAUGGACAUGCGUUGUAUUAGCUAGUUGGUGAGGUAACGGCUCACCAAGGCGACGAUACAUAGGGGGACUGAGAGGUCAACCCCCCACAUUGGUACCGAGACACGGACCAAACUCCUACGGGAGGCAGCAG